CCAUUCUGUGUUAGCUUGUAAUAGCUUCACUGUAUUUCAGAUUUUACAGACAUGUCAAAAAUGGAUAGGUCAUGUUGCUUUUGGAACAGUUUACCAAAUUCAGCUAUUUUAUCUGGGAUAUCCAUAGAGACUCCUUCAGACAGGAGCCUGUGUACUUGGUAAUGUUUGUUAAGCAAGUUGAUAGAGUUGAUGAACCCAAGCCGCCAAUUCAGAAAGUCUUUGAUUUUCUUUGUUCGCUUGGAUGCAAGGUGACUUUCAUCUAGAGCAC
Molecule: long non-coding RNA, 268 nt
Filed under: Homo sapiens (human)
Lineage: Eukaryota; Metazoa; Chordata; Mammalia; Primates; Hominidae
Description: HSALNT0090430
Source: RNAcentral